UGAGCAAUACAGCGAGACCCAAUCUUUAUACACACCCUUAUACCUGUCUCUACAUCACACAGCAGCCUCAUCAGUCCUUAUUUAUCUUUUUAAUUGACGUCAAAAACACUCACAAACCUGCUGCUCUGCUUGUCCUGCACCACCUCAACUUGCAACUACAUCCUCCACCCUAAACACUCCUGCCGCCCAGCAGGUGGAGACAAACUCACUCACUCACUCAAUCAAUCAAUCAAUCAAUCAAUCAUAUAUAUAUCAGUCUGGUAUGGUGUCGACAUAAUGCCGCAAUCUGGCAGUCAUGCCUUCUUUUUGAGCAGUGGUUCCAUGGUCUUUGAAUCCAGUGAUCUGAGUUCAAAUCUCAGUGGGACCUGGUUUUUAGAGGUGAAACCACACUUCAUGUCUUCUCUGGUUCACAGAAACAGUGCUACAGUUGUGUUUUCAGUCAAAACUGUAUAAAAUCAAGCAGCUAACCUUGACCUCUGCCUUUAGAAAUGAUUGUGAAUUCCUAUGUGCUACUAAAGAGCUUAUACUUGUGCGUAUAAGCCCGUUCUCACUCCCGAGGCGUAACAUCCCGACGUUUUGUCACGUCCCGCGGCGUUCCUGAGGAACGCGAAAGGUGACCUUCCACGUUGUUAUGGUACGCGGCGGGUUCCAGCCCUGUAUUGCAGCCCUAAACCUAACCUUAUCCCUAAACCUAACCAUAACCUUAUUCCUAACCUUAACCAGCACUUUAAUGACGUGAAAUAGUGUUUUCCCAAGCGAUUUUAAGGGAAAAAGCGAAGAUGUGUACAUUGAGUCCAAACGGUUCUCAUGUGUCCGCAGUUUUCCGAUGUCGUCACGUAGGAACGCGUUGGGUGGCCGAAAACGUAAUAUGUUGACGAUUUGUCACCUAGCGUAAAAUGUUACGCUUAGGGAGUGAGAACGUGUUGGUAUAAGUCACAAACACUCUGCUCACUCACUGACUGAGCAUGAUCAUCAUUUUCGAGCUAUAAAUGGCAUCAGCCUCUCCACAAUUGACAGUAUCCUUAAAAGAACCCAUUGGCUGAAUA
This 1046-nucleotide long non-coding RNA is filed under the name Oreochromis niloticus (Nile tilapia). RNAcentral describes it as "lncRNA (ENSONIG00000030931.1)". The record is from RNAcentral. Lineage: Eukaryota; Metazoa; Chordata; Actinopteri; Cichliformes; Cichlidae.